AAAUUGAAGAGUUUGAUCAUGGCUCAGAUUGAACGCUGGCGGCAGGCCUAACACAUGCAAGUCGAGCGGAAACGAGUUAUCUGAACCUUCGGGGGACGAUAACGGCGUCGAGCGGCGGACGGGUGAGUAAUGCCUAGGAAA
Molecule: ribosomal RNA, 141 nt
Filed under: Vibrio sp. D415a
Lineage: Bacteria; Pseudomonadati; Pseudomonadota; Gammaproteobacteria; Vibrionales; Vibrionaceae
Description: partial 16S ribosomal RNA
Rfam family: Bacterial small subunit ribosomal RNA
Source: RNAcentral